Molecule: small nuclear RNA, 166 nt
Organism: Alligator sinensis (Chinese alligator)
Lineage: Eukaryota; Metazoa; Chordata; Crocodylia; Alligatoridae
Product: U1 spliceosomal RNA
Exons: 1
Source: RefSeq, a predicted model, not a curated record
UUACAUACCUGGGCUGUCCUUGAAUGACUUGGUGUAGUUGAGGGUGGAGACCUGCCCAUUGCACUGUGGGCAGGCCCCCUUGUGAGAGUCUGCAAAUGCCUCCCAAUGGGAGGAUCUUGGCUACACAAUUUAUGGUGCUGGGGGAUUGCUUUUGUGCUCUUCCUGA